Molecule: ribosomal RNA, 896 nt
Filed under: Bacillus sp. (in: firmicutes)
Lineage: Bacteria; Bacillati; Bacillota; Bacilli; Caryophanales; Bacillaceae
Description: bacterial SSU rRNA
Rfam family: Bacterial small subunit ribosomal RNA
Source: RNAcentral
GCAAGUCGAGCGGACAGAUGGGAGCUUGCUCCCUGAUGUUAGCGGCGGACGGGUGAGUAACACGUGGGUAACCUGCCUGUAAGACUGGGAUAACUCCGGGAAACCGGGGCUAAUACCGGAUGGUUGUUUGAACCGCAUGGUUCAAACAUAAAAGGUGGCUUCGGCUACCACUUACAGAUGGACCCGCGGCGCAUUAGCUAGUUGGUGAGGUAACGGCUCACCAAGGCAACGAUGCGUAGCCGACCUGAGAGGGUGAUCGGCCACACUGGGACUGAGACACGGCCCAGACUCCUACGGGAGGCAGCAGUAGGGAAUCUUCCGCAAUGGACGAAAGUCUGACGGAGCAACGCCGCGUGAGUGAUGAAGGUUUUCGGAUCGUAAAGCUCUGUUGUUAGGGAAGAACAAGUACCGUUCGAAUAGGGCGGUACCUUGACGGUACCUAACCAGAAAGCCACGGCUAACUACGUGCCAGCAGCCGCGGUAAUACGUAGGUGGCAAGCGUUGUCCGGAAUUAUUGGGCGUAAAGGGCUCGCAGGCGGUUUCUUAAGUCUGAUGUGAAAGCCCCCGGCUCAACCGGGGAGGGUCAUUGGAAACUGGGGAACUUGAGUGCAGAAGAGGAGAGUGGAAUUCCACGUGUAGCGGUGAAAUGCGUAGAGAUGUGGAGGAACACCAGUGGCGAAGGCGACUCUCUGGUCUGUAACUGACGCUGAGGAGCGAAAGCGUGGGGAGCGAACAGGAUUAGAUACCCUGGUAGUCCACGCCGUAAACGAUGAGUGCUAAGUGUUAGGGGGUUUCCGCCCCUUAGUGCUGCAGCUAACGCAUUAAGCACUCCGCCUGGGGAGUACGGUCGCAAGACUGAAACUCAAAGGAUGUGACGGGGGCCCGCACAAGCGGUG